CAGUAGCCGCGGUAAUACGAAGGGGGCUAGCGUUGUUCGGAAUUACUGGGCGUAAAGGGCGCGUAGGCGGCCAUUCAAGUUAGAUGUGAAAGUCCUGGGCUCAACCUAGGAAUUGCAUUUGAUACUGUUUGGCUUGAGUUCGGGAGAGGUGAGUGGAAUUCCCAGUGUAAAGGUGAAAUUCGUAGACAUUGGGAAGAACACCAGUGGCGAAGGCGGCUCACUGGACCGACACUGACGCUGAGGCGCGAAAGCGUGGGGAGCAAACAGGAUUAGAUACCCCAGUAGUCCCUGUCUCUUAUAC
This 301-nucleotide ribosomal RNA is filed under the name uncultured bacterium. Its description in RNAcentral is "partial 16S ribosomal RNA". It matches the Rfam family "Bacterial small subunit ribosomal RNA", at positions 509 to 807 of the family's 1533-position model. The record is from RNAcentral.